CUCAGUAACACGUGGAUAACCUACCCUAAGGUGGGGGAUAAUCUCGGAAAACUGAGGAUAAUACCCCAUAGAUCUUGGCUGCUGGAAUGCACUUAGGUUAAAAGCUCCGGCGCCUUAGGAUGGGUCUGCGGCCUAUCAGGUAGUAGUGAGUGUAAAGGACUCACUAGCCGACGACGGGUACGGGCCAUGGGAGUGGUUGCCCGGAGAUGGACUCUGAGACACGAGUCCAGGCCCUACGGGGCGCAGCAGGCGCGAAAACUUCGCAAUGCGCGCAAGCGCGACGAGGGGAUUCCAAGUGCAUGCACUCAGUGUAUGCUGUUUAUUAGUCUAAAAAGCUUAUAGAGUAAGGGCUGGGUAAGACUGGUGCCAGCCGCCGCGGUAAUACCAGCGGCCCUAGUGGUGAUCGUUAUUAUUGGGCCUAAAGCGUCCGUAGCCGGUUCGGUAAAUCUCUGGGUAAAUCGAUGGGCUUAACCCAUCGAAUUCUGGGGAGACUGCUGGACUUGGGACCGGGAGAGGUCGGAGGUACUCCAGGGGUAGGGGUGAAAUUCUGUAAUCCUAGGGGGACCCCCAGUGGCGAAGGCGUCUAGCUAGAACGGGUCUGACGGUGAGGGACGAAGCCCUGGGGCGCAAACCGGAUUAGAUACCCGGGUAGUCCAGGGUGUAAACGCUGCUUGCUUGAUGUUAGUUGGGCUCCGAGCCCAACUAGUGUCGGAGAGAAGUUGUUAAGCAAGCUGCCUGGGAAGUACGGUCGCAAGACUGAAACUAAAG
This 768-nucleotide ribosomal RNA is filed under the name uncultured archaeon. Its description in RNAcentral is "bacterial SSU rRNA". It matches the Rfam family "Archaeal small subunit ribosomal RNA", at positions 89 to 861 of the family's 1478-position model. The record is from RNAcentral.